UACAGUGUGGUGUAGUGGUUUGACCAUUGGAUUAUGACUCCAGAGACCAGGGUUCGACUUCCAGCCAUGAAA
This is a non-coding RNA of Phrynosoma platyrhinos (Desert horned lizard), 72 nucleotides long. Lineage: Eukaryota; Metazoa; Chordata; Lepidosauria; Squamata; Phrynosomatidae. The record is from the annotation of a GenBank genome assembly.